AAUCAACGCUGGCGGCGUGCCUCAGACAUGCAAGUCGAACGCGAAAGUUUCCUUCGGGAGAUGAGUAGAGUGGCGCACGGGUGAGUAACACGUGAGUAAUUUACCUUCGGGUGGGAGUACUAACCGGAAACGGUUGUUAAUACCGCAUAAUGCAGCGGCAUCAAUGAUGACAGUUGUUAAAGCGGGGGAUUGGAGGCAAUCCGACCUCGCGCCUGAAGAGAAGCUCGCGGCAGAUUAGCUAGUUGGUAAGGUAAUGGCUU
RNAcentral lists this ribosomal RNA (260 nucleotides) under uncultured bacterium. Its description in RNAcentral is "partial 16S ribosomal RNA". It matches the Rfam family "Bacterial small subunit ribosomal RNA", at positions 32 to 266 of the family's 1533-position model. The record is from RNAcentral.